Molecule: long non-coding RNA, 1556 nt
Organism: Pogoniulus pusillus (Red-fronted tinkerbird)
Lineage: Eukaryota; Metazoa; Chordata; Aves; Piciformes; Lybiidae
Exons: 3
Source: RefSeq, a predicted model, not a curated record
CAACUCGAUUUCCCCUCGAACAGUUACAGCCUGGACUUUGAUCCUGCCACUGUCUUCAUCCGUACUGACCACGUAGCGUCCGUCAGGUCACUGAUACUGACUUAUGGAAACUCAUUUCACAUGGAGCACCUUUUCAUCCAUUCAGUGCAGGCAGAGGGAAAUGAAGUGAGUGCUUAGUUCCGGAUCCCUUCCCUGAACGAUGCCAAACUGCGCUCUGCAAGGCGGAGGACAAUGUGAUGGCAUGCAGGACUUCUUGGACAAAUGCCUGAAGAAGUUAAAAACUGGUUCUUAUCCUCAGCUUUAAUUGAAAGAAGUGGGUCAGGAUGGGGUUUAUGUGCACGGGAGCUGCAGCGAAGGAGCAGCGCUCACACCGAAUCUGUGAUCUGCAGUCUCAAAGAAACCCUUGCACUUGGAGAGGCUUUAAUAGACAACAAUCUACCCCAGGAAGCAAUAAAAAUGGAUGUGUUCCUAGAUAUCCAUCUGAAAUAACAGGCAGCUGAAAUGUGUAAGCGGAGACAUUUGCAUACAAAUAUUUUCUGGCUCGUGGAAGAGCCUGCUUAAAUACUCCCCUUUCUUGGGCAGUGCUGCUGUUGCCACUUACUGCUUCUGAGUGGAGAAUUUCCAACAUGAUCUCACUAAGCCUCAUUAGACUGUGAGCAAUUAUUUUUCUGUGCUGAGGGUGAGAGAGAACGGACCAAGUUCUGGCCCUGAACAAAUGAAAUAGGAAAUUAGGCACAGCACUCUCUGCUCUGCACAUGGGAAACCACAGGCAAUUAUCCACAUUUAAUAUUUCUGAGGAAAUAUCAUCUGUGUACGGUCAAUUAAUCACACUGAAACAAAAGGACAAUAAAACAACAACAAAAAAGAGUGUAAUUGUUCCACCUGCCUGCCUUUGAACCCAGACCAUACCUUCUCAUCUCAGCCUUUCACAGCCUUGCCUCCUGCCACUGCUGUUAGUCGUAGCUAUACUUUGAAAGCAAAGAGGAAAAACGAGGUAGGGACAAAUUAAGAAUCACAGCCCCAAAGUCUGUCUCAUUAUUUUGUGUUCCAGCAAGCAAAUCUCUGUAGUUUGGAUCAGACUCAACACAUAAUCAUUUAAGUGUGACCCUCUCUGUCCUGGCUGCUCGCUGCAGGGAACUUAAGAUUAAUGCAAGGAGUUGUGUGAAGAUUUUUGGAGUGUUUGACUUCGUUAAGCUAUGCUGGGGACAGAAGAUAGUUAAACACUUGUUAUGUUGUGGUAAAGAAUAAAGUGCUGUGCAGUUAUCAUCAAUUUUGAUAAUGUUAAUGGGAGGCUUCCUGUGCCUGCUGGGAAGCAGCCAGUGUUACUCCACGUCAUUAGUACAUUAGAGAUACAACCUCAUUAACCACUUCAUCACAUUAACACUCAAAACUGAUGGCUCAUAGAGGUGGUUUUUGUUAAUAUGCACUGCAUCCCAUUUGUCUGCUCCAACCAUACACCUCACACAGAGAUCCAGUCCUUGGACAAGUUGGAAAUACGUGGGAGAACCAUGUAUUAUUAGGCAGAAUGAACUUUCACCACUUCUGGCAAUAAAAUC